UUCCGAUUUUUUUUUUCGGACUCCAUCUCUCUCCCGAGAAAUCCCCAAUCUGAGAAAUCCCUAACUCCGCCGCCAGCGCGCGACUCCGCGGCAUCGCCAUCCUGCGCGCGAGGCUGCCGCCGCCGCCACUCCACCGCCGCCGGCCAACUCCUCCACGCAACUCCCCCACGCCAGACCCCAACGCCGACCAACUCCUCCACCCACCUCCCUGCCUAAUCCUCCUCUUCCCCCACCGUCUCCGUCGUCCAUCGCCGCCUCCACCGUCCAUCGCCGCCUCCGCCGUCGCCCCUUUGGACCUCCUCUUCCCCCACUCAGCUCAUCCCCACCUCAGCCAUCAUCCACCAGGCCGAGGCAUACUCCAUCUCCAGGCCUUCCUCUACCCUCCUCGGCUUCAUUGGUUGUUCCCACCCAGCCAUAUCCGUUCACUGAUUUUUUUUUUUUUUUGUUCAGAGAGUGAUUUGGUCAUCCAGAUCAUAAGCAAGACUCCGGAAGAAUGGAAGUUGUGUGCGGAACUGCGUUGGUGUAAUGAAGAGUGGAUAAAAAAGUCAUGCGAAGGUAGGGUAUACAGGGAAAUGAUGGAUGGGCCAGCACACCGUCAAGGCAGCGCUUCACUUGACCGAUUCCAAAAGAACAUGGAGAAGAAGGAGAAGAGGCCAAUGGGUAUAUUUGAGGCUUAUGCAGAAGCAAGGAAGAGUGGAAAAGAUGGAGAGGACUAUUGUACUGACCGUGUCAAGGAUAAGCUUGAAGCUUAUUUUGGAGUUGUUAAGGAAAAGCAUGGUGCAAGUCCUGAUUUGAUGAAAUAACCCAUUGAUG
Oryza sativa Japonica Group (Japanese rice) is the source of this 813-nucleotide non-coding RNA. The record is from RefSeq and is a predicted model, not a curated record. NCBI's taxonomy places the organism in Eukaryota, Viridiplantae, Streptophyta, Magnoliopsida, Poales, Poaceae.